CUCUGAUGUGUGUUGAGUUUAUUUCCAUAGACAAACACUUUGCAUUAUCAUCACAUGCUUCAGUGCUCUGAGUCUUUAUAACUGUCUGACACAAACAUUUUAUAACACAACAUCAUUACAAAACACACAAACACAAAUGAAUUUCUUCAUCGUCUUCAUUUGGAUUCUGGGAGUUUUUAUUCCAGAAUCCAGAGGAGUUACUGUAACUCAGAGUAAAGCUCAAUCUGUUUCUGUUGGACAAACCGUCAAUAUAAAGUGUACAACUGAUACUGGAAUAUUUACAAAUGAAUUAUUUUGGUAUCAGCAGAAACCUGGAGAAGCUCCUAAACUCAUCGUUUAUGGUGACACUACACGGCGAUUCAGUGGCAGUGGAUCAAACACAGAUUUUACUCUGAGCAUCAGUGAAGUUCAGGCUGAAGAUACAGGAGUUUAUUACUGUCAGAGUUAUCAUUGGAUCAACAGUAAAGCUGUGAUCACACAGUGA
Molecule: non-coding RNA, 484 nt
Organism: Misgurnus anguillicaudatus (oriental weatherfish)
Lineage: Eukaryota; Metazoa; Chordata; Actinopteri; Cypriniformes; Cobitidae
Source: the annotation of a RefSeq genome assembly